CAAGAGGGAAGAAAGUUCAUAUUAUAGAUACUCCUAGUUGAAAAGGUCCAACAAGUCGCCCUGUCGUCCUGAACCUCUACAGAUGGCUCCUGGUGAUGGCUGCGUGAUAAAUUGUGCAUGAAAAAAAAAAAAUGUGUGCUGUGAACGCAGUUUGACAUUUCCUGACAUUUCAUGAACUAAUUACACUACAAAUAAUUAAGCAUGUUCACAUCUGUAACAAACGAAGGCAAAAUGGUUGUCAGCGGGCGUGAUUGAUGACUUCCCUGAGAUUUGAUCUGAUGAGAUUCUCCCCAUCGUGGGCAGAAGCCCGACGCCACGGUGUUUGCAAUCAUGCCUUCAGCCCUUUUCAUGAGAUCACACCGACGAGAUGCUUGAAGAAAAGGAUGGGAAAAUUAAUGACUACAUUGAAAUAUUUGCAUUUUUCCAGGGCUGGAAAAAACAAUGAACAAGAGAUGUGACAACCUCAAUUAUCUGGUGGUGCUAAGAGCUCGGAGACAGCUCCUGCUGAAGAGAGCUGUUGGGAAGCCCGGGGGUGUCAGCCUGGCUGGAAAAAUGGCAGGUGACAAGGACAACAUUUUUUUUACGCUACAUAGGCCCACAGAAGCUCAGCUAAAAAGACAAAUUGCAGGAGUAAUUUCUUAUGGAGGGGGAAAUUUGUCAGCAUUUAAGCUUGUUCUUCCACAAAGGUUGGACUGGGGUUUGAAAAUAAGCUGGGAAAGCAGACAAAGGAAUGCAAUCUGAUAUCUGCCAAUCGAUUCAACUGCCAGUGGCUGGGUCUUCUUUGUUUAACAUGGUUUGGGGCUUUCUGUGUAGGCUGCACACUGUACGGAACCGAACACUUCCUGCCCACUGGGAAGUCAUUUGGAAGGGACCCCGGUCUGCUGGAGACUUAAUCUGGCUUUUUCCAAAGCCAGCUCCAGCCCGUUUUCUGGGCAAAUUUCCCUACUGAAGUUGCCCAAACAAAUGGAUUUAUCAUCACACACGAUGCCAGCAAAGAGGCUCCAGGAGCCAGAAUGCAAGCAUAAAAUAAAAUAAAUGCCUUUGGAUAAGGGAGAUGGCAAAGCAUCUCUCUCUGUUGAGGUCUUUGCCAAUGACACCCUGGCAACCCAAAAUGGCAACAUGGAGUUUUUGAAGAUUAAUUUUUAAAGUGCAAAGCACAUUCCAUUCUAUGAAGUCCUCCCACAAUUUUAAUUUCUCAAUGUAUUUGUCUGUUGUUUUUAAAUGGAAUAAACAA
This 1234-nucleotide long non-coding RNA is filed under the name Homo sapiens (human). RNAcentral's name for it is "HSALNT0231412". Lineage: Eukaryota; Metazoa; Chordata; Mammalia; Primates; Hominidae. The record is from RNAcentral.